This 456-nucleotide ribosomal RNA is filed under the name Triticum aestivum (bread wheat). Its description in RNAcentral is "partial small subunit ribosomal RNA". The record is from RNAcentral. Lineage: Eukaryota; Viridiplantae; Streptophyta; Magnoliopsida; Poales; Poaceae.
AUGGGUGUUGGCUCCAACAAUUCGCAUUGGUCUCAAACCAAUGACAUGCAUUUUCAAGACCAUGAGUUCGAGGUGGACAAGGAGGGUGAGGGCAUUGUCGACGCACCGAAAGGAAGAGCGGGAAAUUACACCAACACCGAUGACAUCUUACUAUGCAAUACUUGGUUGCAAGUGUCGAGGGAUCCAUCCGUUGGAGGUGAUCAAAGUAGAGAUGCUUAUUGGAACCGGAUUAAGGAACACUUUGAUGCUCGCAACAUGAGUGGAAUUGACCGCUCCAACCGAUCACUUAGGUCCCGGUGGUCGACAAUCAACUCGGAUUGUCAAAGGUGGGCGGCUUGUCAAAAGGCGGUUGACAAGUUGAACCCAAGUGGCACAAAUGAGGACGAUAGAGUAAGUGCCAUUUCAUCUUACAUGUUGGUGCUAAACUUGCUUUGUUUUGCUUGUUGUUGGUGCUAA